CGUCUGUGAUGAUUCCAAUAUUCAGUUCUGCUUCCGAAAGAGACAGAAUCUCUUGUGGACAACCUUAUACCAAAACUCUCAAUUCUGAUCC
Molecule: small nucleolar RNA, 91 nt
Organism: Rhizopogon vesiculosus
Lineage: Eukaryota; Fungi; Basidiomycota; Agaricomycetes; Boletales; Rhizopogonaceae
Source: Rfam